CUCCAAUGUAACCAAGGAACCAUCUCGGACCGCACCACCACCACACCCGUGGCCAGCUACCAUAGCUGGUCCACCUCCCUCUGCCUCCACCUGAUCAAUUCCUUUUCCAGGACCAUGCCAAUAUCCAGAAUGUCCUGGACAGUACCCCUUGUUACCUCCCGGAAAAAUUUCUCCCCUAAUGUCUUGCCACCAAAAUCCCCGAAAAACAAAACCACUCCUGCUCCACCAAUUUCAAAGGAAAGCCCAGUUACGUUUGAACUGAAACGCGGCUCCCAUCUGUGCCCCUUAGAUAUAAGAAUGACCCUUCAACCAUGUCACCAAACCUGAAACGAAAGUAAUUAGCGACAAGCCAUAGCCAUUAAACCAAAUAGAC
Molecule: non-coding RNA, 373 nt
Organism: Pelobates cultripes (western spadefoot toad)
Lineage: Eukaryota; Metazoa; Chordata; Amphibia; Anura; Pelobatidae
Source: the annotation of a GenBank genome assembly